RNAcentral lists this ribosomal RNA (497 nucleotides) under uncultured bacterium. RNAcentral's name for it is "partial 16S ribosomal RNA". It matches the Rfam family "Bacterial small subunit ribosomal RNA", at positions 28 to 507 of the family's 1533-position model. The record is from RNAcentral.
GAUGAACGCUGGCGGCGUGCCUAAUACAUGCAAGUCGAGCGAACAGACGAGGAGCUUGCUCCUCUGACGUUAGCGGCGGACGGGUGAGUAACACGUGGAUAACCUACCUAUAAGACUGGGAUAACUUCGGGAAACCGGAGCUAAUACCGGAUAAUAUAUUGAACCGCAUGGUUCAAUAGUGAAAGACGGUUUUGCUGUCACUUAUAGAUGGAUCCGCGCCGCAUUAGCUAGUUGGUAAGGUAACGGCUUACCAAGGCAACGAUGCGUAGCCGACCCGAGAGGGUGAUCGGCCACACUGGAACUGAGACACGGUCCAGACUCCUACGGGAGGCAGCAGUAGGGAAUCUUCCGCAAUGGGCGAAAGCCUGACGGAGCAACGCCGCGUGAGUGAUGAAGGUCUUCGGAUCGUAAAACUCUGUUAUUAGGGAAGAACAAAUGUGUAAGUAACUAUGCACGUCUUGCCGGUACCUAAUCAGAAAGCCACGGCUAACUACGUG